AAGUCUAUAAAGAUGUGCUGGAGUCAAACAGUGUCCCAACCUCAUGCGUGUGAUGCAGCUAAAAACUUUCUGUCAAUAUAUUUGUGUUGAUGAUACCAAGGUUUCGUUGGUAUUGUCCCAUGUACAAGUGAAGGAGCAGUGACUACAUUAGAUGAGACUGGUUCUAUGUCCAGAGGACUCAAUUCGAGUUGUUUGUGAAGAAUGCUAUUGUUUAAGGAUACUAUUUUCAAAUAAAAUCUUUGGGCCAACUGUAAUCUACGCAAAACCAGAGGAGGAGAGACACAGUAUGAUGAUGGUUGCACAUUUAUCUCAAGAAAAGUUGGAAGGUGGUAACUACCCAUUGGGUCAUCAUGAACAUACCAAUUGCAAAGAUGAGCAAUAGAAGAACUAGUAAGAGCCAAAUCUAAUGCAGCAGCCUGUCUACCAGGAUAAGGGACCGUUGUUGUAGAUCCAUCAUUUAAAAUGCAUAAAUCACAAUCAUCUAUAAGGUUAAACAAGCAUUUACCCCUAUUGUUGUCAUAAUUAGAUCCAAAAGCCAUGUGAUGAGCAUUAAAAUCACCCAUUAUAACACAAGGCCUUGGUAAGGAAUUUAUAAGUCUCUUCAAUUUUAAAUCAUCAAA
Molecule: long non-coding RNA, 620 nt
Filed under: Manduca sexta (tobacco hornworm)
Lineage: Eukaryota; Metazoa; Arthropoda; Insecta; Lepidoptera; Sphingidae
Description: uncharacterized LOC119191335, transcript variant X3
Source: RNAcentral